ACGACAGAAGUAGUAUUGAUUUCCUCCAUUGAUGUCUCAUUUGUAAUGCUGCAUGUCUGGGUUUCAGGUUCUUUCUCAUUUGAUUCUUCUACUGGCUCCAUUAAUGGCUUCAAAANNNNNNNCAGCCACUUCUUUGUAAGAUACAGAUUUAGAAGCCAUAGCAGAGAGGUUUGCUGAAGAACAUGACGUUUUAGGCACACAAGAUUUUUCCUGCAGUUUAAUUGAAUCCUCCACAACACUCAACCCACGUGUAUUUGAUUGCUUUGUUGCUGGUAAUUCAGUUGUAAUGGUCCUGGGAAUUGUUUUUUGAGCUGGCGAAAUGAUUUCCCUCCUGUAGCUGCUUUCUCUGAUAUUUGAGUAUUCAGAACCAUUUAUAUUCAGCUUUGCAAGAGCAGGUCGCCUACGACCUUGUUUCCUGCCAGCAGCAUUCCCCAACCUCCCUUUUGGAUUGGCUUCUAGCCAACCUUCAUCUGAUGCUGUUUCUUCAACAACUUCAACUGCAACUGUGGGCCUGUAUAUAACAACAUUAUCUUUUUCUUCUGAUUUUUCAUAUUGAACCCUGUCUACCUUUACUUCUUUGUUGCCAGUGGCCAAAGACAUUGCAUUUUCCAAUCUU
RNAcentral lists this unclassified non-coding RNA (616 nucleotides) under Hevea brasiliensis (rubber tree). The record is from RNAcentral. Lineage: Eukaryota; Viridiplantae; Streptophyta; Magnoliopsida; Malpighiales; Euphorbiaceae.